RNAcentral lists this ribosomal RNA (198 nucleotides) under uncultured bacterium. RNAcentral describes it as "partial 16S ribosomal RNA". It matches the Rfam family "Bacterial small subunit ribosomal RNA", at positions 328 to 539 of the family's 1533-position model. The record is from RNAcentral.
ACGCUCGACACCUACGGGAGGCUGCAGUGGGGAAUAUUGCACAAUGGGGGAAACCCUGAUGCAGCGACGCCGCGUGAAGGAAGAAGUAUCUCGGUAUGUAAACUUCUAUCAGCAGGGAAGAAAAUGACGGUACCUGACUAAGAAGCCCCGGCUAACUACGUGCCAGCAGCCGCGGUAAUCUGAGCGGGCUGGCAAGGC